This 253-nucleotide ribosomal RNA is filed under the name uncultured bacterium. Its description in RNAcentral is "partial 16S ribosomal RNA". It matches the Rfam family "Bacterial small subunit ribosomal RNA", at positions 524 to 776 of the family's 1533-position model. The record is from RNAcentral.
UACGAAGGGGGCUAGCGUUGUUCGGAAUUACUGGGCGGAAAGCGCGCGCAGGUGGUCUUUCAAGUCAGUGGUGAAAGCCCGGAGCUCAACUCCGGAAAUGCCAUUGAAACUGUGAGACUUGAGGAUGAGAGAGGUGAGUGGAAUUCCCAGUGUAGAGGUGAAAUUCGUAGAUAUUGGGAAGAACACCGGUGGCGAAGGCGGCUCACUGGCUCAUAUCUGACGCUCAGGCGCGACAGCGUGGGGAGCAAACAGG